This 45-nucleotide non-coding RNA is filed under the name Schistosoma mattheei. Lineage: Eukaryota; Metazoa; Platyhelminthes; Trematoda; Strigeidida; Schistosomatidae. The record is from RNAcentral.
AUUCAGCUGAUGAGUUGCAAAUAGGGAGGAACGCGCGUCCUGGAU